This 119-nucleotide ribosomal RNA is filed under the name Pteropus alecto (black flying fox). Lineage: Eukaryota; Metazoa; Chordata; Mammalia; Chiroptera; Pteropodidae. The record is from RNAcentral.
UGCUAUGGCCAUGCCACCCGGAACACACCUGAUCCUGUCUGAUCUCAGAAGCUAAGCAGGGCCGGGCCUGGUUAGUACUUGGAUGCAAAACCACCUAGGAAGACCAAGUGCUCUAGGCG